This 468-nucleotide ribosomal RNA is filed under the name uncultured bacterium. RNAcentral describes it as "partial 16S ribosomal RNA". It matches the Rfam family "Bacterial small subunit ribosomal RNA", at positions 28 to 507 of the family's 1533-position model. The record is from RNAcentral.
GACGAACGCUGGCGGCGUGCUUAACACAUGCAAGUCGAACGGAAAGGCCCUGCUUUUGUGGGGUGCUCGAGUGGCGAACGGGUGAGUAACACGUGAGUAACCUGCCCUUGACUUUGGGAUAACUUCAGGAAACUGGGGCUAAUACCGGAUAGGAGCUCCUGCUGCAUGGUGGGGGUUGGAAAGUUUCGGCGGUUGGGGAUGGACUCGCGGCUUAUCAGCUUGUUGGUGGGGUAGUGGCUUACCAAGGCUUUGACGGGUAGCCGGCCUGAGAGGGUGACCGGCCACAUUGGGACUGAGAUACGGCCCAGACUCCUACGGGAGGCAGCAGUGUGGAAUAUUGCACAAUGGGCGGAAGCCUGAUGCAGCAACGCCGCGUGCGGGAUGACGGCCUUCGGGUUGUAAACCGCUUUCUCCUGUGACGAAGCGUGAGUGACGGUAAUGGGUAAAGAAGCACCGGCUAACUCCGUG